CCUACGGGAGGCAGCAGUGAGGAAUAUUGGUCAAUGGGCGGGAGCCUGAACCAGCCAAGUCGCGUGAGGGAAGAAGGUACUGAGUAUUGUAAACCUCUUUUGCCAGGGGACAAAGGCGGCCACGGGUGGCCGUAAGAGGGUAACUGGAGAAAAAGCAUAGGCUAACUCCGUGGCAGCAGCCGCGGUAAUACGGAGGAUGCGAGCGUUAUCCGGAUUUAUGGGGUUUAAAGGGUGCGCUGGCGGCGUUUCAAGUCAGCGGUAAAAUGUCUGGGCUCAACCCCGGCCGGCCGUUGAAACUGGCGUGCUCUAGUUGGCGAGCAGUAUGCGGACUUCGUGGUGUAGCGGU
Molecule: ribosomal RNA, 346 nt
Filed under: uncultured bacterium
Lineage: Bacteria
Description: partial 16S ribosomal RNA
Rfam family: Bacterial small subunit ribosomal RNA
Source: RNAcentral